GACGAACGCUGGCGGCGUGCUUAACACAUGCAAGUCGUACGGUAAGGCCCUUUCGGGGGUACACGAGUGGCGAACGGGUGAGUAACACGUGAGUAACCUGCCCACAACUUUGGGAUAACGAUAUGAAACUGGUGCUAAUACUGGAUAUGUGCUCCUGCUGCAUGGUGGGGGUUGGAAAGCUCCGGCGGUUGUGGAUGGACUCGCGGCCUAUCAGCUUGUUGGUGGGGUAGUGGCCUACCAAGGCGGCGACGGGUAGCCGGACUGAGAGGGUGACCGGCCACAUUGAGACUGAGAUACGGCCCAGACUCCUACGUGAGGAAGCAGUGGGGAAUAUUGCACAAUGGGCGCAAGCCUGAUGCAGCAGCGCCGCGUGCGGGAUGACGGCCUUCGGGUUGUAAACCGCUUUCAGCAGGGACGAAGCUUUUUGUGACGGUACCUUAAGAAGAAGCACCGGCUAACUACGUG
RNAcentral lists this ribosomal RNA (465 nucleotides) under uncultured bacterium. RNAcentral's name for it is "partial 16S ribosomal RNA". It matches the Rfam family "Bacterial small subunit ribosomal RNA", at positions 28 to 507 of the family's 1533-position model. The record is from RNAcentral.